GUGCUCGCUUCAGCAGCACAUAUACUAAAAUUGGAGACACAGAGAAGAGUAGCAUGGCUCCUGUGCAAAUUCAUGAAGUGUUCCAUAUAUUU
RNAcentral lists this small nuclear RNA (92 nucleotides) under Myotis davidii. The record is from RNAcentral. Lineage: Eukaryota; Metazoa; Chordata; Mammalia; Chiroptera; Vespertilionidae.